Molecule: ribosomal RNA, 860 nt
Filed under: bacterium
Lineage: Bacteria
Description: bacterial SSU rRNA
Rfam family: Bacterial small subunit ribosomal RNA
Source: RNAcentral
GAACGCUGGCGGCGUGCCUAAUACAUGCAAGUCGAGCGGAGAAAUGGGAGCUUGCUCCCAUUUCUCAGCGGCGGACGGGUGAGUAACACGUGGGCAACCUGCCCUGCAGACUGGGAUAACUCCGGGAAACCGGAGCUAAUACCGGGUAAUACAUAGCAUCGCAUGAUGCAACGUUGAAAGUUGGCCUUUGGCUAACACUGUAGGAUGGGCCCGCGGCGCAUUAGCUAGUUGGUAAGGUAACGGCUUACCAAGGCCACGAUGCGUAGCCGACCUGAGAGGGUGAUCGGCCACACUGGGACUGAGACACGGCCCAGACUCCUACGGGAGGCAGCAGUAGGGAAUCUUCCGCAAUGGACGAAAGUCUGACGGAGCAACGCCGCGUGAGUGACGAAGGCCUUCGGGUCGUAAAGCUCUGUUGUUAGGGAAGAACAAGUACCGUUCGAAUAGGGCGGUACCUUGACGGUACCUAACCAGAAAGCCACGGCUAACUACGUGCCAGCAGCCGCGGUAAUACGUAGGUGGCAAGCGUUGUCCGGAAUUAUUGGGCGUAAAGCGCGCGCAGGCGGUCUCUUAAGUCUGAUGUGAAAGCCCACGGCUCAACCGUGGAGGGCCAUUGGAAACUGGGGGACUUGAGUGCAGAAGAGGAGAGUGGAAUUCCACGUGUAGCGGUGAAAUGCGUAGAUAUGUGGAGGAACACCAGUGGCGAAGGCGGCUCUCUGGUCUGUAACUGACGCUGAGGCGCGAAAGCGUGGGGAGCGAACAGGAUUAGAUACCCUGGUAGUCCACGCCGUAAACGAUGAGUGCUAGGUGUUGGGGGGUUCCACCCUCAGUGCUGAAGUUAACACAUUAAGCACUCCGCC